UUUCUGAUGUUUUCAGAAAUUUGGUGGAUUUGUUGUGAUUGGGCAGCGGCCAGACAACCGUAGAGAUGGAAUCCACGGAUCUUGAGUUUUUCUCUCUCAAUAUUCUACUAAUUCCAUCUUACAUUU
Lathyrus oleraceus (garden pea) is the source of this 126-nucleotide small nucleolar RNA. RefSeq annotates it as small nucleolar RNA snoR143. The record is from RefSeq and is a predicted model, not a curated record. Lineage: Eukaryota; Viridiplantae; Streptophyta; Magnoliopsida; Fabales; Fabaceae. The transcript has a single exon.